UUCAUAGAAAUCAUUACAAGUUUGAGUGAGAUAACUUUCAUUCAAUUAAAAGGAAAAUGGGUGUAAAUCCCAUGCUGUCCCGCAGCUGUAAAUGAGGAGUUUUGUUUCUAUUACCACUGAGUGAUUACUUGGGAAGGUGAAGCAGAAUCAUGAUUCAUGAGCCAGAAUGCCUGCUUGUAAGGAGAUUCAUUG
RNAcentral lists this non-coding RNA (192 nucleotides) under Lysinibacillus xylanilyticus. The record is from RNAcentral. Lineage: Bacteria; Bacillati; Bacillota; Bacilli; Caryophanales; Bacillaceae.